Pichia membranifaciens is the source of this 90-nucleotide small nucleolar RNA. NCBI's taxonomy places the organism in Eukaryota, Fungi, Ascomycota, Pichiomycetes, Pichiales, Pichiaceae. The record is from Rfam.
UCUAGAUGAUGAUAAAUCAAAUUUCAGUUCUGCUUCUGAACCAAAUAUUCAUGAAGAUAACAAAUUUAUUACCAAAAAUUAUUCUGAUCU